Molecule: ribosomal RNA, 448 nt
Filed under: uncultured organism
Description: partial 16S ribosomal RNA
Rfam family: Bacterial small subunit ribosomal RNA
Source: RNAcentral
ACACUCCUGCGGGAGGCAGCAGUGGGGAAUAUUGGACAAUGGGCGCAAGCCUGAUCCAGCCAUGCCGCGUGAGUGAUGAAGGCCCUAGGGUUGUAAAGCUCUUUCACCGGUGAAGAUAAUGACGGUAACCGGAGAAGAAGCCCCGGCUAACUUCGUGCCAGCAGCCGCGGUAAUACGAAGGGGGCUAGCGUUGUUCGGAUUUACUGGGCGUAACGCGCACGUAGGCGGACUAUUAAGUCAGGGGUGAAAUCCCGGGGCUCAACCCCUGAACUGCCUUUGAUACUGGUAGUCUUGAGUUCGAGAGAGGUGAGUGGAAUUCCGAGUGUAGGGGUGAAAUUCGUAGAUAUUCGGAGGAACACCAGUGGCGAAGGCGGCUCACUGGCUCGAUACUGACGCUGAGGUGCGAAAGCGUGGGGAGCAAACAGGAUUAGAAACCCCAGUAGUCCCA